RNAcentral lists this ribosomal RNA (2354 nucleotides) under Xenorhabdus cabanillasii JM26. RNAcentral's name for it is "bacterial LSU rRNA". It matches the Rfam family "Bacterial large subunit ribosomal RNA", at positions 594 to 2925 of the family's 2925-position model. Lineage: Bacteria; Pseudomonadati; Pseudomonadota; Gammaproteobacteria; Enterobacterales; Morganellaceae. The record is from RNAcentral.
UGACUGCGUACCUUUUGUAUAAUGGGUCAGCGACUUAUAUUCUGUAGCAAGGUUAACCGUUUAGGGGAGCCGCAGGGAAACCGAGUCUUAACUGGGCGUUCAGUUGCAGGGUAUAGACCCGAAACCCGGUGAGCUAGCCAUGGGCAGGUUGAAGGUUGGGUAACACUAACUGGAGGACCGAACCGACUAAUGUUGAAAAAUUAGCGGAUGACUUGUGGCUGGGGGUGAAAGGCCAAUCAAACCGGGAGAUAGCUGGUUCUCCCCGAAAGCUAUUUAGGUAGCGCCUCGUGAAUUCAUCUCCGGGGGUAGAGCACUGUUUCGGCUAGGGGGUCAUCCCGACUUACCAACCCGAUGCAAACUGCGAAUACCGGAGAAUGUUAUCACGGGAGACACACGGCGGGUGCUAACGUCCGUCGUGGAGAGGGAAACAACCCAGACCGCCAGCUAAGGUCCCCAAGUCAUGGUUAAGUGGGAAACGAAGUGGGAAGGCUCAGACAGCCAGGAUGUUGGCUUAGAAGCAGCCAUCAUUUAAAGAAAGCGUAAUAGCUCACUGGUCGAGUCGGCCUGCGCGGAAGAUGUAACGGGGCUAAACCAUGCACCGAAGCUGCGGCAGCGAUAUAAAUAUAUUGUUGGGUAGGGGAGCGUUCUGUAAGCCGGUGAAGGUGGGUCGUGAGGCCUGCUGGAGGUAUCAGAAGUGCGAAUGCUGACAUAAGUAACGAUAAAGCGGGUGAAAAACCCGCUCGCCGGAAGACCAAGGGUUCCUGUCCAACGUUAAUCGGGGCAGGGUGAGUCGACCCCUAAGGCGAGGCCGAAAGGCGUAGUCGAUGGGAAACAGGUUAAUAGUCCUGUACUCGGUGUUACUGCGAAGGGGGGACGGAGAAGGCUAGGCCGGCCGGGCGACGGUUUGUCCCGGUUGAAGCGUGUAGGUGGGGUGACCUGGCAAAUCCGGUCAUCCAUAACACUGAGGCGUGAUAACGAGCCACUGCGGUGGUGAAGUGGUUGAUGCCCUGCUUCCAGGAAAAGCCUCUAAGCAUCAGGUAACAUUGAAUCGUACCCCAAACCGACACAGGUGGUCAGGUAGAGAAUACUCAGGCGCUUGAGAGAACUCGGGUGAAGGAACUAGGCAAAAUGGUGCCGUAACUUCGGGAGAAGGCACGCUGGCGUUAGGUGAAGGGCCGUGCGCCCGGAGCUGAAGCCAGUCGCAGAGACCAGCUGGCUGCAACUGUUUAAUAAAAACACAGCACUGUGCCAACACGAAAGUGGACGUAUACGGUGUGACGCCUGCCCGGUGCUGGAAGGUUAAUUGAUGGGGUUAGCGGCAACGCGACGCUCCUGAUCGAAGCCCCAGUAAACGGCGGCCGUAACUAUAACGGUCCUAAGGUAGCGAAAUUCCUUGUCGGGUAAGUUCCGACCUGCACGAAUGGCGUAAUGAUGGCCAGGCUGUCUCCACCCGAGACUCAGUGAAAUUGAACUCGCUGUGAAGAUGCAGUGUACCCGCGGCAAGACGGAAAGACCCCGUGAACCUUUACUAUAGCUUGACACUGAACAUGGAGCCUUGAUGUGUAGGAUAGGUGGGAGGCUUUGAAGUGUGGACGCCAGUCUGCAUGGAGCCAUCCUUGAAAUACCACCCUUGAAUGUUUGAUGUUCUAACGUGGGCCCGUUAUCCGGGUUGCGGACAGUGUCUGGUGGGUAGUUUGACUGGGGCGGUCUCCUCCCAAAGCGUAACGGAGGAGCACGAAGGUUGGCUAAUCACGGUCGGACAUCGUGAGGUUAGUGCAAAGGCAUAAGCCAGCUUGACUGCGAGCGUGACGGCGCGAGCAGGUACGAAAGUAGGUCUUAGUGAUCCGGUGGUUCUGUAUGGAAGGGCCAUCGCUCAACGGAUAAAAGGUACUCCGGGGAUAACAGGCUGAUACCGCCCAAGAGUUCAUAUCGACGGCGGUGUUUGGCACCUCGAUGUCGGCUCAUCACAUCCUGGGGCUGAAGUAGGUCCCAAGGGUACGGCUGUUCGCCGUUUAAAGUGGUACGCGAGCUGGGUUUAGAACGUCGUGAGACAGUUCGGUCCCUAUCUGCCGUGGGCGCUGGAAGAUUGAAAGGGGCUGCUCCUAGUACGAGAGGACCGGAGUGGACGCACCACUGGUGUUCGGGUUGUCAUGCCAAUGGCAUUGCCCGGUAGCUACGUGCGGCAGAGAUAACCGCUGAAAGCAUCUAAGCGGGAAACUUGCCUUAAGAUGAGUCUUCCCUUGUCCCAGAGAGGACACAUAAGGAACGUUCGAGACGAGGACGUGGAUAGGCCGGGUGUGUAAGCGUAGCGAUACGUUGAGCUAACCGGUACUAAUGCUCCGAGAGGCUUAACC